UACCUGAUAGUAUGGUGAGAUUGCAUGAUAGCACCAUUAAAGAUUUAUUGGUAAACGAUGGGGAUGCGUUCCAUUAGGUAGUAGGCGGGGUAACGGCCCACCUAGCCGACGAUUGAUAGGGGUUCUGAGAGGAAGGUCCCCCACAUUGGAACUGAGACACGGUCCAAACUCCUACGGGAGGCAGCAGUGAGGAAUAUUGGUCAAUGGGCGAGAGCCUGAACCAGCCAAGUAGCGUGAAGGAUGAAGGUCCUACGGAUUGUAAACUUCUUUUAUACGGGAAUAAAGUAUCCUACGUGUAGGAUUUUGUAUGUACCGUAUGAAUAAGCAUCGGCUAACUCCGUGCCAGCAGCCGCGGUAAUACGGAGGAUGCGAGCGUUAUCCGGAUUUAUUGGGUUUAAAGGGAGCGCAGACGGGAGAUUAAGUCAGUUGUGAAAGUUUGCGGCUCAACCGUAAAAUUGCAGUUGAUACUGGUUUCCUUGAGUGCAGUUGAGGCAGGCGGAAUUCGUGGUGUAGCGGUGAAAUGCUUAGAUAUCACGAAGAACCCCGAUUG
Molecule: ribosomal RNA, 550 nt
Filed under: uncultured bacterium
Lineage: Bacteria
Description: bacterial SSU rRNA
Rfam family: Bacterial small subunit ribosomal RNA
Source: RNAcentral